CAUACACGGAGCUAACUAGUACUAUAUUCCACCCUGUACUUCUCACUUCAACAACUAACUUUUCUCUCUGCCAUCCAAACACUUCCCUCUUCAUGUGUGUGUGUGUGUGUGUGUGUGUGUGUGUGUGUGUGUGUGUGUGUGUGUGUGUGUGUGUGUGUGUGUGUGUGUGUGU
Portunus trituberculatus (swimming crab) is the source of this 172-nucleotide long non-coding RNA. RefSeq lists it as uncharacterized. The transcript has 2 exons. The record is from RefSeq and is a predicted model, not a curated record. NCBI's taxonomy places the organism in Eukaryota, Metazoa, Arthropoda, Malacostraca, Decapoda, Portunidae.